RNAcentral lists this ribosomal RNA (455 nucleotides) under Kingella oralis. Its description in RNAcentral is "bacterial SSU rRNA". It matches the Rfam family "Bacterial small subunit ribosomal RNA", at positions 30 to 485 of the family's 1533-position model. The record is from RNAcentral. Lineage: Bacteria; Pseudomonadati; Pseudomonadota; Betaproteobacteria; Neisseriales; Neisseriaceae.
AUUGAACGCUGGCGGCAUGCUUUACACAUGCAAGUCGAACGGCAGCACGAAAGAGCUUGCUCUUUUGGUGGCGAGUGGCGAACGGGUGAGUAAUGCAUCGGAACGUACCGAGUAAUGGGGGAUAACUAUCCGAAAGGAUAGCUAAUACCGCAUACGCUUUGAGAAGGAAAGUGGGGGCUCUUCGGACCUCACGUUAUUCGAGCGGCCGAUGUCUGAUUAGCUAGUUGGUGGGGUAAAGGCCUACCAAGGCGACGAUCAGUAGCGGGUCUGAGAGGAUGAUCCGCCACACUGGGACUGAGACACGGCCCAGACUCCUACGGGAGGCAGCAGUGGGGAAUUUUGGACAAUGGGCGCAAGCCUGAUCCAGCCAUGCCGCGUGUCUGAAGAAGGCCUUCGGGUCGUAAAGGACUUUUGUUAGGGAAGAAAAGGAUAGUGUUAAUACCAUUAUCUGCUGA